Molecule: non-coding RNA, 543 nt
Organism: Equus caballus (horse)
Lineage: Eukaryota; Metazoa; Chordata; Mammalia; Perissodactyla; Equidae
Source: RefSeq, a predicted model, not a curated record
CCAAUGCCGACGCAUGCGCACUCUUAAUAGCAUCCUUUAGUAUUAUGCGUAGAGAAAUGUAUAAUCUUAUUCUUUGCACUCUCUUUCGUCUUCCCAUUUUGAGAUGCAUUUUUUUCCUGCUUUUUCAGAACAUACAAUGUUUAUGUAUUAUUCUUAUACCCAUAAUUCCAGCCUUAUUUUAGCCUGGGCUCUGCAAUAUAGGAAAUGCUCACCGUCAGUUCCUUUGCCAAUUUCUCCUAUCGUCUCUUAUUGGGUGAAGCCCAUCGUCUGGUAUGAGAGUGAAAGCGCAGGUGCUCUGGGUGCACACGGGAAGGCAUGGACGCCAUCUCUUGAGAAACCAGAAAGCUACCAAGAGGAAGUCAUGCUGUCUAGUUUGAGAUCCAAAGGAUCAUGUGCCAAAGGAGGAGAUACAUCGAGUGUCUCUCAGAGAAAACCCCAGAAACCAGUUUCAGUGAUUGCCCUUGGCGGGGAUAGUAUAUGACUUGAAAACAGAGACGGGAGACAGACUUCCUCUACAUUAUCUACGCUUUUGUACCUUUUGCA